UACGAAGGGGGCUAGCGUUGCUCGGAAUUACUGGGCGUAAAGGGCGCGUAGGCGGAUAUCUAAGUUGGGGGUGAAAUCCCGGGGCUCAACCUCGGAAUUGCCUUCAAAACUGGAUAUCUUGAGUUCGGGAGGGGUGAGUGGAACUCCGAGUGUAGAGGUGAAAUUCGUAGAUAUUCGGAAGAACACCAGUGGCGAAGGCGACUCACUGGCCCGAUACUGACGCUGAGGCGCGAAAGCGUGGGGAGCAAACAGG
Molecule: ribosomal RNA, 253 nt
Filed under: uncultured bacterium
Lineage: Bacteria
Description: partial 16S ribosomal RNA
Rfam family: Bacterial small subunit ribosomal RNA
Source: RNAcentral